This is a long non-coding RNA of Pteropus alecto (black flying fox), 597 nucleotides long. RefSeq lists it as uncharacterized. Lineage: Eukaryota; Metazoa; Chordata; Mammalia; Chiroptera; Pteropodidae. The transcript has 4 exons. The record is from RefSeq and is a predicted model, not a curated record.
GUUGGAGAAAGCAGAGCACUAAACAGAUUCUCAGAUUUGUCAGUCUGACCAGAACUGAUCUGAGAAAGUGGACAGGGACCAAAUCAAUAGGGGGGACAACACAUUGACCAAACAAAAAUGUGUGUCUUACAGUCCAGAGUUUUCCAUUUCAGACAAAUGAGAGGCUAAGAUGAAUUCAAGCAAAAGCGAGAUUGAAAAGGAAGUCAGUUCCUAGAGACGUGGGGAAAGAAUGAGAGGGAUUUAUGAGAAGAAAUAUAUGAAGAGGUUAAUAGUUACUGCACGGAUGUGAGAUUUCUCAGAGAUACCAGGGGAAAGCUCAGAAGGUGCUACUCCAUGACACAUCUCAAAAGGGGACCACUCACAGCUCUAACACGGUUCUCAUGUGGCUAUCACAUAUGGCACAAGAAGCAUGCAGUAGAAGUUACUCAAUGAUGUACAACAAAUUUGAAGAGUUUGUACACAUCCAGUGCUGAAAGAGCCCCCCACCUCCCACUUCCUGGGAAGAAAGCUGAGGAUGCAGCUGCUGCCAGGGGACACCCGGCUCCCACAGAGCAUCUUCGUGAGUUCUCUCCAAUAGGGACAGAGCAGAAGACAUUA